AACGAACGCUGGCGGCAUGCCUAACACAUGCAAGUCGAACGAUGCCUCCGGGCAUAGUGGCGCACGGGUGCGUAACGCGUGGGAAUCUGCCCUUGGGUUCGGAAUAACUCGCCGAAAGGCGAGCUAAUACCGGAUGAUGACGUAAGUCCAAAGAUUUAUCGCCCAAGGAUGAGCCCGCGUAGGAUUAGCUAGUUGGUGGGGUAAAGGCCCACCAAGGCGACGAUCCUUAGCUGGUCUGAGAGGAUGAUCAGCCACACUGGGACUGAGACACGGCCCAGACUCCUACGGGAAGCAGCAGUGGGGAAUAUUGGACAAUGGGCGAAAGCCUGAUCCAGCAAUGCCGCGUGAGUGAUGAAGGCCUUAGGGUUGUAAAGCUCUUUUACCCGGGAUGAUAAUGACAGUACCGGGAGAAUAAGCUCCGGCUAACUCCGUG
Molecule: ribosomal RNA, 433 nt
Filed under: uncultured bacterium
Lineage: Bacteria
Description: partial 16S ribosomal RNA
Rfam family: Bacterial small subunit ribosomal RNA
Source: RNAcentral